GAGUUUGAUCGUGGCUCAGGAUGAACGCUGGCGGCGUGCCUAAUACAUGCAAGUCGAGCGAACAGACGAGGAGCUUGCUCCUCUGACGUUAGCGGCGGACGGGUGAGUAACACGUGGAUAACCUACCUAUAAGACUGGGAUAACUUCGGGAAACCGGAGCUAAUACCGGAUAAUAUAUUGAACCGCAUGGUUCAAUAGUGGAAGACGGUUUUGCUGUCACUUAUAGAUGGAUCCGCGCCGCAUUAGCUAGUUGGUAAAGUAACGGCUUACCAAGGCAACGAUGCGUAGCCGACUGAGAGGUGAUCGGCCACACUGGAACUGAGACACGGUCCAGACUCCUACGGGAGCAGCAGUAGGGAAUCUUCCGCAAUGGGCGAAAGCCUGACGGAGCAACGCCGCGUGAGUGAUGAA
Molecule: ribosomal RNA, 411 nt
Filed under: uncultured microorganism
Description: bacterial SSU rRNA
Rfam family: Bacterial small subunit ribosomal RNA
Source: RNAcentral